RNAcentral lists this long non-coding RNA (253 nucleotides) under Prunus persica (peach). Its description in RNAcentral is "long non-coding RNA (PPER_LNC001549)". The record is from RNAcentral. Lineage: Eukaryota; Viridiplantae; Streptophyta; Magnoliopsida; Rosales; Rosaceae.
GAAACCCUAAAUUUAAUCCCGAGAAGAUGCAUGGUGCUUUCAUAGUCAUGAACUCACAGUGCAGCUUAGAUGCCACAUGGCAAAGCAGUGGGACCCAUUGUGGCUUUAAAUAUUUGUUUUAUAUUUCUUUAUUAAACUCCCUUUUUUUUCAACAGUCGCACCGCCCAAACAUACCUCAUUAAUCACCCAAUACAAAUUCACAAGUCGACAAUUGCUUGUGAACAAGUAGAGGAAAAACCACCAGCUCCAUUUG